UAAGGAGUUAGUUAAUCCACAUAAUACUGAAUUGUCAA
RNAcentral lists this transfer RNA (38 nucleotides) under Diaphorina citri (Asian citrus psyllid). RNAcentral describes it as "tRNA-Asp". The record is from RNAcentral. Lineage: Eukaryota; Metazoa; Arthropoda; Insecta; Hemiptera; Psyllidae.